This is a long non-coding RNA of Theobroma cacao (cacao), 851 nucleotides long. RefSeq lists it as uncharacterized. The record is from RefSeq and is a predicted model, not a curated record. Lineage: Eukaryota; Viridiplantae; Streptophyta; Magnoliopsida; Malvales; Malvaceae.
CAAUUCUAGAGUGAAACAAAUGACUGUUAAAUUGGAUCGUCCAUGCGCGACACGCACUGCAUUUAUAAAGUUAAAGAAAGACAAAACAGAACUUGCAUGUGUGUAUCGCGCACGGACGAUUUGAAUUAACCAAGUCAUGACAUAAAUAAAUACUAUUAUGAUUCUUCUUUAAUUAUUAUUUUAUCAAUUACCAAAAUGAUUGAAGGUUUUCAUCCAUGUUCAAAGGCACCGCCCCUCCAGAAAAAAACACCUCAAGGUAACUCAUUCAUUAGAUGUGGUGAGCGGCUGCGAGGACUUGUGCUAGAUCUACUUGUCUUUGCCUGGGCUGGAUCUCAACUGUUGGGCAUUUUAUAAUUCAUACAAGGAAUGCUCUCUGCCAAACUCAGUUUGAAUCCUGUUUUCCUUGAUUCCUGGUUGUUAUGAGUUUCAUGCCUUUCGGCGGUAGUUUAGUUUGUGAUCAGAGCAUAUCCGAUUGGGAACUUCUCUGAUGGAAUGUUGAAGAUACUUGCAAAUGAACAAACAGGCUUCGAUUGAUUGCAAAAUGAAAAUGGUCUAGCUAGAAUGAUUUGCGUUUGUUUUAGUUUAUUUGCUAGUAAUUUUGGGUAUACAUAUAUAGAUAUUGUGGCUUUGGCUUCCUUCAGUGCCCUGAUUGUCCCUUACGUUCCUGUAAGGUGGUCUCUCAGGGCUAGCUUCACUAGAACAUUAGGGAAGGAUUUGCCUUGAGUCAAUAGCCCAAUGCAAUUCAUCACUCCCAACUUUGCUACUGUUCGAAAGCAGAAAUCAAUCCCCUGUAAACCCAUUAGAUUUGCCUACUUUUUAGUUAUGUAUAUAAUUCAGCUUAUAUCUCCAAA